RNAcentral lists this transfer RNA (70 nucleotides) under Phylloscopus ijimae (Ijima's leaf-warbler). RNAcentral's name for it is "Seicercus ijimae (Ijima's leaf-warbler) tRNA-Glu". Lineage: Eukaryota; Metazoa; Chordata; Aves; Passeriformes; Phylloscopidae. The record is from RNAcentral.
UUUCUGUAGUUAAACUUUUGUAACGAUGGCUUUUCAGGCCGUAGAUCUCGGAGAGAGGCCGGACAGAAAU